This 468-nucleotide ribosomal RNA is filed under the name uncultured bacterium. RNAcentral's name for it is "partial 16S ribosomal RNA". It matches the Rfam family "Bacterial small subunit ribosomal RNA", at positions 28 to 507 of the family's 1533-position model. The record is from RNAcentral.
GACGAACGCUGGCGGCGUGCUUAACACAUGCAAGUCGAACGGAAAGGCCCUGCUUUUGUGGGGUGCUCGAGUGGCGAACGGGUGAGUAACACGUGAGUAACCUGCCCUUGACUUUGGGAUAACUUCAGGAAGCUGGGGCUAAUACCGGAUAGGAGCUCCUGCUGCAUGGUGGGGGUUGGAAAGUUUCGGCGGUUGGGGAUGGACUCGCGGCUUAUCAGCCUGUUGGUGGGGUAGUGGCUUACCAAGGCUUUGACGGGUAGCCGGCCUGAGAGGGUGACCGGCCACAUUGGGACUGAGAUACGGCCCAGACUCCUACGGGAGGCAGCAGUGGGGAAUAUUGCACAAUGGGCGGAAGCCUGAUGCAGCAACGCCGCGUGCGGGAUGACGGCCUUCGGGUUGUAAACCGCUUUCGCCUGUGACGAAGCGUGAGUGACGGUAAUGGGUAAAGAAGCACCGGCUAACUACGUG